UACUCAUCCAUUUUUUAAUAAAGUCAUUCAGUUUUUGUCUAGUUUUGUUCUAAGAGAAAACCCUAAUGUGAAGAGGAGAAGAUGAGAGGAAGGAGGAAGAGCUUUGAGGAAGGAUAAUAGCACACUCAGGUCUCUCAUGUCCGUUCUCUCUCAUGUCUUUCUCUCUAGCGUUAAAGGAUUUCUAUUGGGUCGAGCUUCGAUCAAGGGUGACUAUUGGCCUCAUGUCGGCGUUGUGAUUUCCUCACAGCGUAUGUUGGAUCUCAUGGAGAAGAAAGUAAAGCAGUUUGAGCUCUCACCUUGUUGAGGCAUCUGAACAACCAAGCAAGCAACAAUAUUGUUGAAGCUAGACAAAGGUCACUACAAAAAGUUAUAGGCAAGAAACGUGGACUAAAGACAAUGAAGACAAAUCAAGAUAGCGUAGCACGCAACGAUACCGAUGAAGGUUUGCAAAGGUCUCCAAAGAAAAUGGAGGCGAUCCAAGAAAUAGAUGCAGCCAACGUGAACAACAGAAAGGGUCGUGGUCGGCCUCGUGGCUCAAAGAAUAAACCUAAGAAAUAACCAAUAACGCACAAUAAGUUACAACUAGUUACAUUUUAUCAGACUCUUUUGCAAGUUACAUUUGAUUGUUAGAACUGCAUUUCUUUAGAUGUCACUUUGGGUUUUGAUGGUUCAAUUGAAUUGCUAUCGAUGAUGACAAACUCUAAAGCUUGUUUAUCCUUCAUUAGAUGUCUGAUGCUAAU
Long non-coding RNA from Rosa chinensis, 740 nucleotides. RefSeq lists it as uncharacterized. The transcript is spliced from 3 exons. The record is from RefSeq and is a predicted model, not a curated record. Lineage: Eukaryota; Viridiplantae; Streptophyta; Magnoliopsida; Rosales; Rosaceae.